GACGAACGCUGGCGGCGUGCCUAACACAUGCAAGUCGUGCGAGAAAGUUCCUUCGGGAGCGAGUAAAGCGGCGCACGGGUGAGUAACACGUAGGUAACCUGCCCCCCAGUCUGGAACAACUAGAGGAAACUCUAGCUAAUGCCGGAUGAGACCACGAUCCCCUUCGGGGGUUGCGGGCCAAAGAUGGCCUCUACUUGUAAGCUAUCGCUGAGGGAUGGGCCUGCGGGCCAUUAGCUUGUUGGUGAGGUAACGGCUCACCAAGGCUGUGAUGGCUAGCUGGUCUGAGAGGAUGACCAGCCACACUGGGACUGAGACACGGCCCAGACUCCUACGGGAGGCAGCAGUGGGGAAUAUUGCGCAAUGGGCGAAAGCCUGACGCAGCGACGCCGCGU
Molecule: ribosomal RNA, 392 nt
Filed under: uncultured bacterium
Lineage: Bacteria
Description: bacterial SSU rRNA
Rfam family: Bacterial small subunit ribosomal RNA
Source: RNAcentral